This 677-nucleotide long non-coding RNA is filed under the name Brassica rapa (field mustard). RNAcentral's name for it is "long non-coding RNA (BRAP_LNC003189)". The record is from RNAcentral. Lineage: Eukaryota; Viridiplantae; Streptophyta; Magnoliopsida; Brassicales; Brassicaceae.
GUUUUCCCGCUACCACCCGCAAACGCAGCUUUUGCGGUUGGUAGCGGUUGCUGGCGUUUUGCAACAAUCGUUCAAACCGUUCUAAACCGCUCCAAAGCGCUCCAAAUCGCUCUGAACCUCAUAAAUUCAAAAGCUGGUUCCAUCUAGCGUUUGCGGUUGCGGACGUUUGCGGGAGGACAAAAAAAAAUUAUUUUUUUUCCAAAACAAUAUAAAUACAAAAAUAAAAAAAAAUUCAAUAAAAAAAUUAAAUUGAAAUUAUAAAAAUGCUAAAAUAUAUCAAUUAAAUUUUAAUUAAUAUUAUAAAACUUUAAAAUAAAAAUAUUUUCUAUAUUUUUAAAAAAAAUUAAACUAUAACUUUCUAAAUAUAAAUUUUAUAUUUAUUAUAAUAUUAUUAUUUUUGAUAUUUUUAUAAUUGUAUAAAAUGUAAAUCUUGUUAAUUUAUUAUUUAACUGCUGCUGCAUUUGGUAGUUAACCAGUCAUAAGUAUCCUGCAAACGCACCAAUUUCUAACCGCAGAACCAGUCGUACAAAUCUCUUAAAACCGCUAGAAACCGCAACCACCCGCAUCCGCAAACUCCCGCAACCGCAACCGCAACCGCUGCGGUUGAACCAGUCAGGCCCUUAGUUGGUAAACAUGAAGCGAUUAGGCACAUGCAUUGCGAAGCUUUUAUGGUUAGU